Molecule: ribosomal RNA, 310 nt
Filed under: uncultured bacterium
Lineage: Bacteria
Description: bacterial SSU rRNA
Rfam family: Bacterial small subunit ribosomal RNA
Source: RNAcentral
AACGAACGCUGGCGGCGUGCCUAACACAUGCAAGUCGAGCGGGAAAGUUCCCUUCGGGGAGCAAGUACAGCGGCGAACGGGUGAGUAACACGUAGGUAACCUACCCUGGAGACUGGGAUAACUUGCCGAAAGGCGGGCUAAUACCCAGAUAAGACCACGGGGGCUGAGGCUCCCGCGGCAAAAGGUGGCCUCUGCUUGCAUGCUACUACUCCGGGAUGGGCCUGCGCGCCAUUAGCAGUUGGUGAGGUAACGGCUCACCAAGGCAGAGAUGGCUAGCUGGUCUGAGAGGAUGGCCAGCCACACUGGGACU